AUGGUGGAAAGCUGCACUUGAAGUCCAACUCUGUCCUGGGGGAAUAAUUAUGUUCCCUGUCUUGGGAGCCUUUCUUCAGGGAGCUUGAUGGUUCCAACCCACCCAGGAGCCUGGGACAUCUGUGCCCCUGGGCAAUCCCCUGCAGUUUCCUGAUUCCAAGAUGAGGGGGUAGAAUCCGAAGAUCUCCAAGGCCUUGAUGAGUGCUACCAGUCUGCAAAUUCCCAAGCCAAGUUCUUCAAUGAAUCAAAUUUCCUCCAGUAGCCAUUUCUACCAAAGGAGCAACUGUUUUUCCUUCCCACUGACAUGGCUAUGUAUUCGAACUGGAUAUAGCAGCUCCAAGGACCAUGGCCCCAGGAACUAGGCACAAGUGACAGGAGACACUUGCUAUGUCUAAACCCAGUGCACCCUCAGCCCGGCCUCGCCUUUUCAAGGACGGCUAGCACAGGCCAUCAUCCUGGCCCACGAUGAAGGAUCUCUCUCUGCCACCCAGGCUGGAGUGCAGUGGCACAAUCAUGGCUCACUGCAGCCUCAAACUCCUGCGCUCAAGUGAUCCUCCCACAUCAGCCUCCCAAGUAGCUGGGACUCCAGGUAUGAGAGAACAGAAAUAGAGAUUUGGGUGGCUUUAGCUGUUUAAAAUAAGGUGACCAAACCUCCUUUCUGCCUGUUCCUGCUAUUUCAAACACCACUGUUCUCCACACAAUGAAAAUGGCCUUGUUCCUUAAG
Homo sapiens (human) is the source of this 723-nucleotide long non-coding RNA. Ensembl annotates it as papillary thyroid carcinoma susceptibility candidate 2. Its record names the gene PTCSC2. The record is from Ensembl. Lineage: Eukaryota; Metazoa; Chordata; Mammalia; Primates; Hominidae.